Acanthosepion pharaonis is the source of this 113-nucleotide non-coding RNA. NCBI's taxonomy places the organism in Eukaryota, Metazoa, Mollusca, Cephalopoda, Sepiida, Sepiidae. The record is from the annotation of a GenBank genome assembly.
UUACGGCCAUAUCACGCUGAAACGCUGGUUCUCGUACGAUCACCGAACUUAAACAACGUCGAGGCUGUUCAAUACCUAGAUGGGUGACCGCUUGGAAAUACCAGGUGCUGUAA